GCGAGGAAACCCGCUGAACUUAAGCAUAUCACUAAGCGGA
RNAcentral lists this ribosomal RNA (40 nucleotides) under Caulerpa racemosa f. occidentalis. RNAcentral's name for it is "partial 28S ribosomal RNA". The record is from RNAcentral. Lineage: Eukaryota; Viridiplantae; Chlorophyta; Ulvophyceae; Bryopsidales; Caulerpaceae.